RNAcentral lists this transfer RNA (76 nucleotides) under compost metagenome. RNAcentral describes it as "tRNA-His". It matches the Rfam family "tRNA". Rfam says of the family: Transfer RNA (tRNA) molecules are approximately 80 nucleotides in length. Their secondary structure includes four short double-helical elements and three loops (D, anti-codon, and T loops). The record is from RNAcentral.
GUGGUUGUAGCUCAGCUGGUAGAGCACGGGAUUGUGACUCCCGUCGUCGAGGGUUCGAAACCCGUCAGCCACCCCA